Molecule: long non-coding RNA, 1693 nt
Organism: Carassius auratus (goldfish)
Lineage: Eukaryota; Metazoa; Chordata; Actinopteri; Cypriniformes; Cyprinidae
Exons: 3
Source: RefSeq, a predicted model, not a curated record
UUGAAGGUCUAAUAUGCUGAGUAAGAGUUUGAAUCAUAUAUUUGUUUACAUGCAUUACAUGACAUUGUCUGUGUAUAUACUGUGCUAAAAUCAGUCUAUAUAAAAUCAAACGGAAGAUUUCUUACAUUUCAUAAUCUCAAACUUAACUUGAAUUUAUUUUUCCUUCUGGCUAAAACCUCCUAAUUUUCUGUUGCAGAUCACAUAUCAUACUCUUAGGACUUGUCCAAGAUGACCGACGAUUUGUGCUUAUUUUUCAGAAAUACACCUUUACACCUUUGGUUUUCAAAUCUGUUUAUCUGUUGGCUGUACCUGCUCAAAACCAAUUGAAGUUGCUUUUUCUGGUCUGUAAUAUUUCUAAAAGCCUUGAUCCAGCCCCCAAACACAGGUAGACCUGAUAAAUCACUCUCAAUUUUCAGCCCAGGCUUAUUUUAUUUGCAAAAUAAAAUGUGUGUCAUUUUGAAAUAUGCCUCUGAUUCCCUUAACCUCAGUUCUAGCCUUGCUGACUAACUAAACUCUUGCUGAUAACUGAAUUGACAAGAAACAGUUGAUUUGUAUCUUUUCUUGAUGCACUUAUCGUCACAACCCAAUAUAUGCAGUCCUGCUGUUUUAAUUAGAACUCCAGCCAUGAAACAUUAUAUAUAUAAAAAAAAAGAAUUACAGUGUCUUUCUAUCUAGCUUUCCAUACACAAUCUGGGUUUAAAAAGUAUAAUAAACUCUUUCUCUUAGCCUCACGGAAGGUUGUAAAUAUGUGCCAUUAACUUGAAUGAUAAAUAGCCAGAAGGAGUGAAAACUGUACUCCCUAAUUCCAGAUGAGUAGCUCAGGUCCUAAAAUCACUGUAGGCAAUUUGCUUCUUAGUUUUUGCAAAGGUUGUAAGAGGAUUGUUUGAUUCAGAUAGGAUUUAAAUGGCAAAAUACUUCUCUGAAACAUGAAUUUCCCUGACCCUUUUCAGGGCAAACUAUUCUCAUUCUUUGCUUUUCCUUUGUACACUGAGCCAUCAUUCUUGAAAGACCCAGCCAGGGUCUGAUCAGAGAAUGAAGCACAGGUCAGAGGAGAAGUCAUGCGAGGUGACACCGCACUUCCACUGGGAGCCCGUCACAGUAAUGCUGAUGAUAUUGCACUUCUAUCAGAGGGUUUCAGGACUUAUCUUCCAAAUCCUGAACAACAAGUUUAUUGCAGGAACGACUGAGCGAAACCUUUCUACUCACUCUAAAAACACCAGAAGAAUGAUGUCCAGGGUUCCUGCUCAUCUCUGUGAACAUGCCAUAGUCCUGCAGGAAGGCAUGAGGACUGCAGAUGUGGCCAGAGAAAUAAGCAGCAAUGUCUGUAAAGUAAGAUGCCUAAGACAGUGCUACAGGCAGACAGGAAGGACAGCUGAUCAUCCUUGCAGCCACAUGUCCACCUAGACAAGUUCAAUUUGCAAGUGUUUUGAUAAAAAUUGGAGUAACAUCUCACACAAGAACUGCCACAUCUGGUGCAGUCUGUAAGGACGAGAUGAGUGGACAGACAAGAUACUCACUGCUACUUUUGAAAUGGUCCACCACAUAUACCAUACAGUAUAUAUACUCUAAAGUAUAUAUACUUAAAGCCCUGAAAUGAGUAGUGCGCUCCGCUAAACACAUCUCCAGAACAUCUCUCCCCUCUCUGCAAGACAUCCACAUCAGGAGAUGUAAAUCUAGGGCUGUAAAGAUCCUU